This 497-nucleotide ribosomal RNA is filed under the name uncultured bacterium. Its description in RNAcentral is "partial 16S ribosomal RNA". It matches the Rfam family "Bacterial small subunit ribosomal RNA", at positions 28 to 507 of the family's 1533-position model. The record is from RNAcentral.
GAUGAACGCUGGCGGCGUGCCUAAUACAUGCAAGUCGAGCGAACGGACGAGAAGCUUGCUUCUCUGAUGUUAGCGGCGGACGGGUGAGUAACACGUGGAUAACCUACCUAUAAGACUGGGAUAACUUCGGGAAACCGGAGCUAAUACUGGAUAAUAUUUUGAACCGCAUGGUUCAAAAGUGAAAGACGGUCUUGCUGUCACUUAUAGAUGGAUCCGUGCUGCAUUAGCUAGUUGGUAAGGUAACGGCUUACCAAGGCAACGAUGCAUAGCCGACCUAAGAGGGGGAUCGGCCACACUGGAACUGAGACACGGUCCAUACUCCUACGGGAGGCAGCAGUAGGGAAUCGUCCGCAAUGGGCGAAAGCCUGACGGAGCAACGCCGCGUGAGUGAUGAAGGUCUUCGGAUCGUAAAACUCUGUUAUUAGGUAAGAACAUAUGUGUAAGUAACUGUGCACAUCUUGACGGUACCUAAACAGAAAGCCACGGCUAACUACGUG